Long non-coding RNA from Cryptomeria japonica (Japanese cedar), 1309 nucleotides. RefSeq lists it as uncharacterized. The transcript has 2 exons. The record is from RefSeq and is a predicted model, not a curated record. NCBI's taxonomy places the organism in Eukaryota, Viridiplantae, Streptophyta, Pinopsida, Cupressales, Cupressaceae.
ACAACUACCGUAAGCGACAACUGACAACCACUGCUGAAUUCUAUGGUAAACCGUUUAAAGAAUAGAAUUUUCGAGUCAUUGUUUUUGUUCAAACGAGAAACGGAACCCAAUGACCCAGAAUAGGAAUUUUCAACCCCCAUUGUGUUCAAAAGAGAAGGGUAGCCCAAAAACGGAGAAUAGAUUUUUCAAAUCCCCUUGUCUUCAAAAGAGAAGGGUAGCCCAAAAACGGAGAAUAGAUUUUUCAAAUCCCCUUGUCUUCAAAAGAGAAGGGUAGCCCGAAAACCCUGGGACCACGCUGUUUCUGAAAUCAAUUCUGAAAUCGAUUCUCAAAAUUCAAGAUUCCUGUAAACAAAUUGUUGAUGGAGACUCACAAUCACUCUUCAAUGGAAGCAAAGCAGCAAGAAUUUAUUAGGCCUUAAAUGAGAAAGUACCUUUGUAGACACGUUGCACGCCUUUAUGCCAGUUACUGAUGCUGAAGAUUACACGAAACUUCAACCUGUCUUCUCAAUUUGCUAAAACUUGGUUGGAGUGUAAGAUUCCCGUUUUCCUUAUCUCCACAUUUUUCCAAGUUAUAUACCAAUAGUGAAGCAAAGCAAAUGCAAACAAAAUAUUUGAUCUGGGCGUGUCACAGUCAGUAUACACAAGAAAGCACAUCAUUCUUUUUUGGGAAAUUUUGCUAGUGAAGAAAGAGAGAUUGAAAUGGGUAUUGGGUUAGUAGUGACAUUUGAAAUUGUAGGGACUGUAUGGUUUAUUCUGAGAGACUGGAUAGCAAGGUGCGUGUCAGUGGCCAUCGAGAUAGCACGGGCUUUCCAUGCAGGUGACAUUGGGCCCUUACAUGUUGGAUAAUAGGACUCCAUGGUUAAAAAUUCAGAGGUCAAAGAUCUCGUCAAAGCUUUUUACAUACGUGGUGUAUGUAGAUUAUGCUAUGGAACAGCAAUCUAUGUUUCAGUACGAUCCAGAUUCCAUACAAUCCUCUUCAAAAAUGAAAUUUCUAUGGCACGUCCUGUUCAAUUGAGUGAUUGAAUGUGCACAAAUUAAAUUGUUCUAUGGCAUGUCAUCAUGUCAACGAGCAUGUCUUGUGAAUCAAUCAUCUAUUGCACAGAACGUGAUGGUGAUGAGGGUUCAAAAGAUUUAAAUUUGUUCUAGCAUGACAGAUUAAUUUCUCAAAGUUUCUUGAGUGACAAUCUUAUUGUAUUGUGUAAAUUGGUAAAUAGUUUGUUAAGACUGGAAGUGCUCUUUACUGUAAAUAUUGUGGGAAAUGAAGUAUUGAAUGAAUAAAUAGUUCUGAAGAAAAGUACUGUUUACAACA